Phoenix dactylifera (date palm) is the source of this 4412-nucleotide non-coding RNA. The record is from RefSeq and is a predicted model, not a curated record. NCBI's taxonomy places the organism in Eukaryota, Viridiplantae, Streptophyta, Magnoliopsida, Arecales, Arecaceae.
UCAACUUGGAAACCCCCAACCCCAAGCCCUCGCCGAUUACAAUCUCUGGCGCAAAUCUAUCCGUGAAGCGUUCAGCGAUGGCAGAAGCAGCAGCAAUAGCAGUGGCCUCUUCCCAUUCUGAAAGUCGUGAUCGAUAAGCUGGGUUCUAGAUUUUGGGAAGAGCUGGGAUUGGUGUGGAGUGUCAACUCUGACAUGGAGAGGCUGCAGAGCGUGCUGUCGACGAUCAGCGAUGUACUCGAUGAUGCCGAGAGGAGAUCCAUCUGCGACAAAGCUCUGGCUGGUUGGCUGAGGAAGCUCAAGGAUGCAGCUUUUCGAUGCCGACGACGUGGUGGGUGAGUUUCAGUACGAAGCCCUACGACGAAGGAUCCAGAGACGCAGCCAGCUGGUCGGAAAGGUAAGCGACUUCUUCUCUCCUGACAACCAAAUUGCUUUUCGCCGUAAGAUGGCUCACAAGAUAAAAACGAUCAAUAAGAGACUGGGCGAGAUCGCAGAAGAGAGGUCAAAAUUCCAUCUGGCAGAGGGAUCCACCUCAGGAAGGACCCUCGAUCGAGAGACCUACUCAGUUGUGAUUGAGUCCGAUGUUUAUGGACGAGGUGAAGACAAAGAAAAGAUCGUAAAUUUCUUGGUCGGUGCAGAUGAUAGGAGUGAUGUCUCGGUGCUUCCCAAUAGUUGGGUUGGGCGGAGUUGGGAAGACCACACUUGCCCAGCUAGCUUAUAAUUAUCAGGGGAUAAAAGAGCACUUUGAUCUUACAUCGUGGGUCUGUGUUUCUGAUGACUUUAGCAUCAAGGCAAUUAUUAAAAAUAUUAUUGGGUGUGAAGCCUCAAAACUUGGAAGCUGCUCAACGUGAACUCCAGACGAAACUGGGUGGGAGGAGAUUCUUGCUUGUUCUGGACGAUGUCUGGAACGAGGAUGAAGCAGAGUGGGAGAGACUGAAGACCUUACUGAGAUGUGGCCGGCAAGGAAGCAAGAUCAUAACUACAACACGAAGCCAUGUGGUUGCCAGGAUCAUGGGAACGGUAGCUCCGCAUAAUUUGCAAGGCUUGACAUCCGCUGACUGCUGGACUCUGUUCAAGCAGAGAGCAUUUGGGCCAGGAAGAGAAGAAGAGACUCCAAGGUUGGUUGAAAUUGGAAAGGAGAUCGUUGAAAAAUGUGGGGGCUUGCCCUUGGCUGCAAAGGCUCUCGGAAGUCUAAUGAGCUCUAGAAGAGGGGAGAAGGAGUGGUUGCAAGUCAGAGAUAGCGAACUAUGGAGAUUGCCUGGAAACGAGAAUAGUAUAUUACCAGCACUACAGUUGAGUUAUGAUCAUUUGCCUUCUAAUUUAAAGCAGUGUUUUGCUUAUUGUUCGAUAUUUCCAAAAGAUUAUAGAAUUGAAAGGGAGAAACUGAUUCAGCUGUGGACUGCCGAAGGUUUCAUCCAAACAUCGGACGGUGAUAUGCUUGAAGAGGAAGUUGGCAAUCGAUACUUCAAUAGCUUGUUGUGGAGAUCCUUUUUUCAGGAUACGGAAACAGAUUCCCAGUAACAACAUACGGUUCUGUAAGAUGCAUGACUUGGUGCAUGAUCUUGCGUGUUCUAUCGCAGGAGAUGAGUCCUCGAUCACGAAGGUGGGCAUGAAGACAAGAAUUCCACGGGGAUGUCGGUCUUCAUCAAUUCUUUAUGAGGAUAACAUGUCGUCGGCGACUUUAGAGGCAGAUUUUGAAGCAAAGAAACUGAGAUCGCUUAUUUCAUUGAAUAGGAUGAGGUUUGAUAUUCAUCAAGAAUUUGCCAAUCUAUGCGAUGUCAUCCCUUACUCAUCUCCGUGCAUUAGAUCUAUCUCGAGCUGGCAUCAAAGAGUUGCCCUGCACAAUCAGCAAGUUAAAACAUCUUAAGCUCCUUGAUUUGUCGGGGACUUCUAUUGAAGCUUUGCCUGACUCGAUUACUGACCUUCACAACUUGCGGACUUUGAACCUUGGAUAUUGUCGAGAACUAAAAAGUUUGCCGGAGGGAAUGAGCAGUAUGAGCAGCCUGAGACACCUAGACAUCCGUGGAUGUAGCAGCUUGAUUUGCAUGCCCCGUUGGUUGGGCCGGUUGCGUAACAUCCAAACAAUGCCCAUGUUUAUCGCGGGCAAAGAGCGUGGACGUACUAUUUCUGAGUUGGAGCACCUAAAUUUGAUCAGUGGUGAACUUGAAAUCACGAACCUUGACAAUGUGCAGGAUCCAUUGGAAGCCACGAAAGCAGACCUGGCAUCGAAGAUAAACCUGCAAUCAUUGGUUCUGAUGUGGAACAAUCACUCAUAUAUGGAAUCGGCAGCAUCCCCCAUGUCAGAGGUGGAGGGAAGUAUUUGAGAGGCUCCAGCCUCACUCUAAUCUGAAGAAGCUAGUUAUUUAUAGGUAUCCAGGUAUGAAGUUCCCAACUUGGAUGGCAUCUUCACCAAUCCACAAUCUAGUUAGGAUCAAGCUGGCAAUACUCGAGAGAUGUGAGUAUCUUCCAGCGCUUGGUCACCUGCCUCUUCUUCAGGAACUCAAAAUGUUGUGUAUGAAUGCUGUAAGGAGAAUCGGAGUGGAGUUUUAUGGGGAUGGAGGUAUAUUUCCCUCGUUACGAAGUCUCUCUAUGUCCGAGUUGCGUGAUUUGGAGGAAUGGUCUGCAGAGGCAACGGCAGGAGGAAAAUCGGUGAUGGCAUUCCCUUGCCUUGAAAAGUUCACGGUAUUCGGAUGCCCCAAAUUGAGGGUAGCACCACGUGUCCCACCGUCAGUCGUGGAUGUUACUAUCGAGGGGUGAUCGGCUAUUAUUAGCAGUGACCACAGGAGGGUUGUACAGACUGAGAAGACUCCGUAUUCAUAACUGUGAAGCACUAUCAUCGCCGUUCCGGUGGGAGUGGAUGCAGGAUCUCACUGCUCUUACUAGCUUGUAUAUCAGGGACGAUAAGAUGAUGUGUUUGCCCGAGGGCAUCUUGCAGCUGCGCAUGCCCUCCCUCCAAGACUUUACCACGAACUGCAGGAACCUGAAGUCCAUAUCGGGGGAAGAAAGGGAUAAGCAACAGCAGCCUCCCACCUUCUUCAUGACCAUCCAACAGCUCUGCUUAUAUUUCCCCGAGAAUUUGACCGUUGUGCCGGAGUGGCUAGGGAGCCUCACAGCGCUUCAGAACCUGUCGAUCUUCGGCUGCCCCAGCUGCUGGCGAGGCGAUGCGAGAGGGAGAGAGGCGAGGACUGGCCCAAGAUCGCUCACAUCCCACGCAUCGACAUCUCGCCAGCCGAAGCAAGGGAAGAAGACAGAGAAGAAAAUAGCCAAGAGAUCUAUUACUUCAUUAAUCAGAAAGUUAAGAUUAACGAGCUGCACGGGCCAUGGCUGAUGUGGCAACAGCACCAUCCGGUGAAAUGUUAUCUCUGUUGGCUUUGACACUUGGUUCGGUGGUGGACAGCAAGAAAUUGGGGCAGCAGCAGUUUGCUCAAAGCAAGCCAAAGAUGAAUUGCAGGAGUAUCAGCUCCCCGGCUCGCUGGUUUUUAUUGCUGCAAUAUUUUCGGAUCACUGCUUUUGCCUCAUUGUUAAGAUCUUCGACGACUCCUCUGGAGAACCUCAAAUCCUCUGUUCUCCGGUGUUACUGUCUCCCUCAGGGGGGAUCCAAAAUCUUCAGCAAGUCUCCAAGCCCUGCCCUGGACCAUGCGUCUAAAGACCAUGGCUAUGGCUCCAUCGUCCCAGCACAUCCAAGUGCUUCCACUCUAUUGCAGCAGUGUUGCUGAGCACAUCCAAUGCCUGAUGGUUUCAUGCUCCCUACAUUCUGCGGUCUGUGGAGUACUUUUCAUCAUCCCUCAGCUUCUUAUGUGCACGCAGUGCUUUAUGUAUUGGAAUGAAUAGCGACAUAUUGAUUAUUACGUCCUCUGUAUGCUUGAAAGUGAUAGAGCAUAAAUAGUUUAUAAAUACUCUGUAAAUUACCAUUCUGUGUACCUUUAUGUUUAUUUUGUUAUUUAAUGCUGAAUUUCUCUUCCUCUGGCUGUACUAGAUCAAGGUAAUCCAAUCAGGAGCACAGGCUAGGACCGUAAAUUGAUAAGUUUGGUGGGACUAUUAGCAUAUGACACCAUGAGUGUGGCAAUCUAGGAGACCAAGAAUGAACUAUCUAUAAAUGGUGCUGCAUUUAUUGCUAUUGGUGUAUAACUAGAAGUUUCUGGCAGUCUAGAAGUUUGAAUUGGUUUUAUUUUGUUGCUACAUUAGUUUGAGUGUGGUUCUUGGAAUUGAUUGUGGAGGCACAGGCGGUGGUUUCGGCUUGUCCAUAUGGAGAGUGACUGUGCGAAGAAAGUAGAAAGUUCAAUGGAUUGUGGAGCAAAUGGCUUGCACACCCUAAUGGCAUUGUGAUAAUAUGGAAGUUUAUUUUUUGCUGUGUUACUAUAAAUUUGAGAAACAUUAUUUUGUGUACCAUAACUAAUAGUGAUGACUUGCUAGCA